Molecule: long non-coding RNA, 2697 nt
Filed under: Medicago truncatula (barrel medic)
Lineage: Eukaryota; Viridiplantae; Streptophyta; Magnoliopsida; Fabales; Fabaceae
Description: long non-coding RNA (MTRU_LNC006644)
Source: RNAcentral
AAGUUUUAAACUCCAAAAUAUUUAUCAAAUUAUUCAUGUUCUUUUUUAUUCUCUUUUAUUUCAUGUGUCAAUGAGAGAGGUGAAUGAUGCAAUUUAUUCCAUGCCUUCCUAUAAAGCUCUAGAUCUUGAUGAUUUCAACCCAUUUUACUUCUUAUAUAUAUGUAGAUCGUAGGGAGUUAUAUUGUUUGAAAGCUUGUUUUGGAGUGUUUUAAUAUUGGUAUUAUCCCUCCUAAGUUGACAUAGACUCUUAUUGUUCCAAUUCCUAAGAGUAAUAAACCUCAAAGUUUGAUGGCCUUUAGGACGACUAUCCUUUAUAACAUUCUUCUCAAGCUUAUCUCAAAGGUUAUGGUUUGAAGAAUUAGACCCCAUUUGAAGAAUCUUAUUGGUCUUGUCAACGUAGUUUUAUUCCAAACAAUGGUAUUGAUGAUCAAGAAUUUUUUUGUUGCAUGCAUACAAAGAAAGGUAAAUUUCCUUUUCUUAUGUGUAAAAUUGAUUUUGAUAAGGAAUAUGAAAGUGUGUACUGGAAUUUCCAAAGCUCAUGUUGUCGGAAUUUGGUUUUUCUCCUAUUGUCUUUAAUCUUAUCAUGAGUUGCACGGGCAAAAGUGGCGGACGUGUUGGGGGAUUUCUAGAGAGAGAAGUUCUAACUUCUCUCUACCUCUCCUCCCGAGCUCUGUUUAGGGUUUCCCUAAACAUCUAAGUGGUGGUUUUCCCCAGCACCUCCUAGCCCUCCCCAGCACCUCCUGGUCUACCCCAACACCUCCUGGUUCCCUGUUUUCUCUCUUUUCGUUGUGUUUAUGUCUGGAUUCAGAUCCAGAUCUUGUUUCUGAUUGAAGUUUGGAAAGGGUUGAUGUGUUGUUGUUGAUGUCUUCACAACCCUUCACUGCCAUAGCCUCUCCUCCCUUGACACGCCCACCACCAGAUCCACCGCCCUCCUCCCUCAUGUCAUGAUCCCUCCUCCACCAGCAAAUGUUUUCGCAAAGAGAGUUCCACCAAAGCCACCAUGGAUUGUCGACAGAUUUGAGCCCUCAAGGGUGAAUGUUUCAAAUUUGGUUAACUAUGUUUCUUAUGAUGUUUCCUUGUUUUUCAUGUUCUACUUGUGUUGUUGUGUCUCUGUUUUUAACUUAAAUAUGUUGUUAUGUCUUUGUUUUCCAAGCUCUACUUGUGUUGUUGUGUUUUUUGCUGUUGUAAGUGCCUUUACAAUAUCCCUUUUGGGUAAUUUGUGCUUCCAAGAUGUCAAUGGUAAAGCUGCACUCUACAUGUUUGUUAAAAUGCCCCAAAUGAGAUGGAUGUUGUCUGGGAAGAAGGACAGGGCAGAUGCACAUGAUGCUGUUAAUACCAACUUGUGCAACUCCUCCUUGUUUCAAUUCUAUUCCAAACGUGUGUUAAAUCUUGACAUAAUCGAGACCACUUAUAGUCGAACUGAGCUUGCAUCCGUAGCCAAUUUGAUCCGUAACUGGAUAGAUAUAAAGACUGUGGAUUCUCUUAUUUUCGUUGUCAUGGACCGUGUGCGGAAGUCAUUGCAAGCAAGGUUAUUAGUCCGUAGAUGUUGGGUGAACAACACCAGUUUAGCUACUAGUCAAUCUUUGUUUAAUGAUGAUUAUCAUAUCUUGUUAGGCUUUAUUUGUAAUGGUUUUCAUUUAUCUUGUUGGAGAUGUUUCAAACACCCUAGAUGAUUGAAUGAAUUUGCUUUGAUUGAAUGAAUUUGCUUUACCAUAAAAAAAAAAAAUAUAUAUAUAUAUAUAUAUCAUGAGUUGCACUAAUCCUCGACCUUAUAUCUCAAAUCGAAUAAUGAGCAACUUGAUAUUUUUAUUCCCAACCAAGGGUUAAGGCAAUGGGACCCUAUUUCUGAUUAGCUAUUCUUGCUUUGCAUGGAGAAACCAGUUCUACUUAUUCAAAAAAAGAGGGGUGAGCCGAUGGCUAUCUAUUGGGAUUUCUAAUAAUGGGAAUGUUGUUUCUCAUCUUUUCAUUAUUGAUCAUUAUCUUGUCUUUGCUUAUAUACCGACAGGGUUACCAAUCCAAAAUUUUCCUAUAUGAUUGAUAUGAACAACCCAAGGCUAGCUGGUUGCGAAGUUGGGAUUUUAAGUAGAUCAAGGGGAAUGAUUUUGGCUAAGUUUGUUUUUAGCCCAUCAUUGUGGAUUGGCUCCUAGUAUGGGUUUUGACUUUUGAUGAUGUUUUUAAUUAGAUUAAUUAGAUGUUAUUUAUACCUUUUGUUUGUGAUUCUUUAGCUUUGUUGUGAAAGCACCUUAACUAAUCUCUGAUCUCAAGUCAACUAUAUUAGUGUCAUUUGUUUAAAAUUGUGUUUAGGUGUUUUCUUGUGAGUUAAGUCUUUAAAAUUGCAUUUUUGGUCGUUUAAAUUGAUUCAAGCUUGGCAUGCAUUGUAUUAUUCAAGCCUUUGGGUUGUUAUGAUCACUUCAAGUAACACUUAAUACGAUUCAAGAAUUAUAUGUUUCGUAACACUUUGAUGUGAUUCAAAAGUUUUGUUAAAACCCUUGAUAAGAUUCAAACUCUCUCUCUACAUCUUCUUCAGAUUUUUGUUAAACAUUCUUCAAACUCUCUCCCUACAUCUUCUUCAGAUUAAACAUUUUUUCUAAGAUCUUUUUAGAGUGUGACGUCUAGAUUGUUAGGAUGAUAUAUAACUUGUAAGGUUUUUUUCUUUGAAGGAACUUGGUGGUAGAUCAAAAGAACUAAAAAAAGAAG